GCAGCAGCCGCGGUAAUACGUAGGUGGCAAGCGUUGUCCGGAAUUAUUGGGCGUAAAGGGCUCGCAGGCGGUUUCUUAAGUCUGAUGUGAAAGCCCCCGGCUCAACCGGGGAGGGUCAUUGGAAACUGGGAAACUUGAGUGCAGAAGAGGAGAGUGGAAUUCCACGUGUAGCGGUGAAAUGCGUAGAGAUGUGGAGGAACACCAGUGGCGAAGGCGACUCUCUGGUCUGUAACUGACGCUGAGGAGCGAAAGCGUGGGGAGCGAACAGGAUUAGAGACCCCUGUAGUCCCUGUCUUUUAUAA
RNAcentral lists this ribosomal RNA (302 nucleotides) under uncultured bacterium. Its description in RNAcentral is "partial 16S ribosomal RNA". It matches the Rfam family "Bacterial small subunit ribosomal RNA", at positions 508 to 809 of the family's 1533-position model. The record is from RNAcentral.